GAGUUUGAUCCUGGCUCAGGACGAACGCUGGCGGCGUGCUUAACACAUGCAAGUCGAACGAUGAAGCUGGAGCUUGCUCUAGCGGAUUAGUGGCGAACGGGUGAGUAACACGUGAGCAAUCUGCCCUUGACUCUGGGAUAACUGCGGGAAACUGUAGCUAAUACCGGAUACUUUCACCGGAAGGCAUCUUUUGGUGAUGAAAGAAUUUCGGUCAGGGAUGAGCUCGCGGCCUAUCAGCUUGUUGGUGAGGUAACGGCUCACCAAGGCGACGACGGGUAACCGGCCUGAGAGGGUGACCGGUCACACUGGGACUGAGACACGGCCCAGACUCCUACGGGAGGCAGCAGUGGGGAAUAUUGCACAAUGGGCGCAAGCCUGAUGCAGCAACGCCGCGUGAGGGAUGAAGGCCUUCGGGUUGUAAACCUCUUUUAGCAGGGAAGAA
This 442-nucleotide ribosomal RNA is filed under the name uncultured bacterium. RNAcentral describes it as "bacterial SSU rRNA". It matches the Rfam family "Bacterial small subunit ribosomal RNA", at positions 9 to 449 of the family's 1533-position model. The record is from RNAcentral.